This 397-nucleotide ribosomal RNA is filed under the name uncultured Methanosaeta sp. RNAcentral describes it as "bacterial SSU rRNA". It matches the Rfam family "Archaeal small subunit ribosomal RNA", at positions 943 to 1338 of the family's 1478-position model. Lineage: Archaea; Methanobacteriati; Methanobacteriota; Methanomicrobia; Methanotrichales; Methanotrichaceae. The record is from RNAcentral.
CAAUAUGAAGGUCAGGCUGAAGACCUUACCCGAUUAGCUGAGAGGUGGUGCAUGGCCGUCGUCAGUUCGUACUGUGAAGCAUCCUGUUAAGUCAGGCAACGAGCGAGACCCACGUCCACAGUUGCCAGCAUACCCUCCGGGGUGAUGGGUACACUGUGGAGACCGCCGCUGCUAAAGCGGAGGAAGGAGUGGGCAACGGUAGGUCAGUAUGCCCCGAAUCUCCCGGGCUACACGCGGGCUACAAUGGUUGGUACAAUGGGCAUCUACCCCGAAAGGGGAAGGAAAUCUCUUAAAGCCAAUCGUAGUUCGGAUUGAGGGCUGCAACUCGCCCUCAUGAAGCUGGAAUCCGUAGUAAUCGCAGAUCAGCAACGCUGCGGUGAAUACGUUCCCGGGCCUU